This 73-nucleotide transfer RNA is filed under the name Paramuricea clavata. It matches the Rfam family "tRNA". From Rfam's summary of the family: Transfer RNA (tRNA) molecules are approximately 80 nucleotides in length. Their secondary structure includes four short double-helical elements and three loops (D, anti-codon, and T loops). Lineage: Eukaryota; Metazoa; Cnidaria; Anthozoa; Malacalcyonacea; Plexauridae. The record is from Rfam by way of RNAcentral.
GACCGCGUAGCUCAGUUGGCAGAGCAUUGGGCUAGUAUUCCAUAGGUCGUAGGUUCGAUUCCCACCGUGGUCA